Molecule: small RNA, 49 nt
Filed under: Drosophila erecta
Lineage: Eukaryota; Metazoa; Arthropoda; Insecta; Diptera; Drosophilidae
Description: GG26994
Source: RNAcentral
CCGACAUAUUACUGACUUCCGAGUCCGACAUUAUGUGUAUUAUAAUUAU